AGGUUGCAUGGAAGGAGAGAAAGAGAACACUCCUCUCAAUAAGGUUGGAAGAGGUCCUAGUGGCCUGUACAACACGCUUAUGGUUAAUUUAACAGGGAGGAGCUAUGGCUCAGU
Small nuclear RNA from Euleptes europaea (tarantolino), 114 nucleotides. NCBI's taxonomy places the organism in Eukaryota, Metazoa, Chordata, Lepidosauria, Squamata, Sphaerodactylidae. The record is from RefSeq and is a predicted model, not a curated record.